GAUGAAGAACGUAGCGAAACGCGAUAAGUAAUGUGAAUUGCAGAAUUUAGUGAAUCAUCGAACUUUUGAACGCACAUUGCGCCCCCUGGUAUUCCGGGGGGCAUGCCUGUCCGAGCGUCAUUGCUGCCCUCAAGCACGGCUUGUGUGUUGGGCCUCCGCCCCCCGGCUCCCGGGGGGCGGGCCCGAAAGGCAGCGGCGGCACCGCGUCCGGUCCUCGAGCGUAUGGGGCUUCGUCACCCGCUCCGUAGGCCCGGCCGGCGCCCGCCGGCGACCCCCCUCAAUCUUUCCAGGUUGACCUCGGAUCAGGUAGGGAUACCCGCUGAACUUAAGCAUAUCAAUAAGCGGAGGA
This 349-nucleotide unclassified non-coding RNA is filed under the name soil metagenome. RNAcentral describes it as "partial contains 5.8S ribosomal RNA, internal transcribed spacer 2, and large subunit ribosomal RNA". The stretch from base 1 to 120 matches the Rfam family "5.8S ribosomal RNA", at positions 35 to 154 of the family's 154-position model. The record is from RNAcentral.